CUACGGGCUGCAGCAGUGGGGAAUAUUGCACAAUGGGCGCAAGCCUGAUGCAGCCAUGCCGCGUGUAUGAAGAAGGCCUUCGGGUUGUAAAGUACUUUCAGCGGGGAGGAAGGGAGUAAAGUUAAUACCUUUGCUCAUUGACGUUACCCGCAGAAGAAGCACCGGCUAACUCCGUGCCAGCAGCCGCGGUAUACGGAGGGUGCAAGCGUUAAUCGGACUUACUGGGCGUAAAGCGAGCAGGCGGUUUGUUAAGUCAGAUGUGAAAUCCCCGGGCUCAACCUGGGAACUGCAUCUGAUACAGGACAGCUGGCGUCCCGAAGAGGGGGGUAGAAUUCCAGGUGUAGCGGUGAAAUGCGUAGAGAUCUGGUGGAAUACCGGUGGCGAAGGCGGCCCCCUGGACGAAGACUGACACUCAGGUGCGAAAGCGUGGGGAGCAAACAGGAUUAGAUCCCCUCGUAGUC
RNAcentral lists this ribosomal RNA (461 nucleotides) under uncultured bacterium. Its description in RNAcentral is "partial 16S ribosomal RNA". It matches the Rfam family "Bacterial small subunit ribosomal RNA", at positions 339 to 795 of the family's 1533-position model. The record is from RNAcentral.